RNAcentral lists this ribosomal RNA (311 nucleotides) under uncultured eukaryote. RNAcentral describes it as "partial 18S ribosomal RNA". It matches the Rfam family "Eukaryotic small subunit ribosomal RNA", at positions 1470 to 1796 of the family's 1831-position model. The record is from RNAcentral.
CCCCUAGACGUUCUGGGCUGCACGCGCGCUACAAUAAUACGCACAGCGAGUAUCACCGAGCUCGAAAGGGCAAGGUAAGCAAUAGAAAAGGUACUGUAAUGGUUAUAGAUCCUUGUAAUUAUUGAUCUUCAACGAGGAAUUCCUAGUAAGUAUGUGUCAUCAUCACGCACUGAUUACGUCCCUGCCCUUUGUACACACCGCCCGUCGCUCCUACCGAUUGGGUGAGCCGAUGAAACUCUCGGAUGUAGGCUAUUCAUAGCCCGCAGAAGAGAUUUGAAUCGUAGCGCUUAGAGGAAGGAGGAGUCGUAACA